Molecule: ribosomal RNA, 852 nt
Filed under: Brevibacterium sp. f6
Lineage: Bacteria; Bacillati; Actinomycetota; Actinomycetes; Micrococcales; Brevibacteriaceae
Description: bacterial SSU rRNA
Rfam family: Bacterial small subunit ribosomal RNA
Source: RNAcentral
GAGCUCGUAGGUGGUUGGUCACGUCUGCUGUGGAAACGCAACGCUUAACGUUGCGCGUGCAGUGGGUACGGGCUGACUAGAGUGCAGUAGGGGAGUCUGGAAUUCCUGGUGUAGCGGUGAAAUGCGCAGAUAUCAGGAGGAACACCGGUGGCGAAGGCGGGACUCUGGGCUGUAACUGACACUGAGGAGCGAAAGCAUGGGGAGCGAACAGGAUUAGAUACCCUGGUAGUCCAUGCCGUAAACGUUGGGCACUAGGUGUGGGGGGCAUUCCACGUUCUUCGCGCCGUAGCUAACGCAUUAAGUGCCCCGCCUGGGGAGUACGGUCGCAAGGCUAAAACUCAAAGGAAUUGACGGGGGCCCGCACAAGCGGCGGAGCAUGCGGAUUAAUUCGAUGCAACGCGAAGAACCUUACCAAGGCUUGACAUACACUGAACCGGUCUGGAAAACGGUCUUCCCCUUUUGGGGUUGGUGUACAGGUGGUGCAUGGUUGUCGUCAGCUCGUGUCGUGAGAUGUUGGGUUAAGUCCCGCAACGAGCGCAACCCUCGUUCUAUGUUGCCAGCACGUGAUGGUGGGAACUCAUAGGAGACUGCCGGGGUCAACUCGGAGGAAGGUGGGGAUGACGUCAAAUCAUCAUGCCCUUUAUGUCUUGGGCUUCACGCAUGCUACAAUGGCUGGUACAGAGAGAGGCGAACCCGUGAGGGCAAGCGAAUCCCUUAAAGCCAGUCUCAGUUCGGAUCGUAGUCUGCAAUUCGACUACGUGAAGUCGGAGUCGCUAGUAAUCGCAGAUCAGCAACGCUGCGGUGAAUACGUUCCCGGGCCUUGUACACACCGCCCGUCAAGUCACGAAAGUC